UGCGUAGGUGGCAAGCGUUGUCCGGAAUUAUUGGGCGUAAAGCGCGCGCAGGCGGUCCUUUAAGUCUGAUGUGAAAGCCCACGGCUCAACCGUGGAGGGUCAUUGGAAACUGGGGGACUUGAGUGCAGAAGAGGAAAGCGGAAUUCCACGUGUAGCGGUGAAAUGCGUAGAGAUGUGGAGGAACACCAGUGGCGAAGGCGGCUUUCUGGUCUGUAACUGACGCUGAGGCGCGAAAGCGUGGGGAGCAAACAGG
This 253-nucleotide ribosomal RNA is filed under the name uncultured bacterium. RNAcentral's name for it is "partial 16S ribosomal RNA". It matches the Rfam family "Bacterial small subunit ribosomal RNA", at positions 524 to 776 of the family's 1533-position model. The record is from RNAcentral.